CAGGGGUAUUCCGGUAAAAAAAAGAUCAAUCCUUUUGCAUAGAGGAUCGUAACAUUGGUGUCAUGGUCUUCAAUCGCAUUAUUAUAUGAUAUUUGUUUGAUGGCAAUAUGGCAAUACCUUCUGUGUAUUGGUGCCAUUGUUCGAAACUUGCAGGUUCAUACGUGGCAGGUAUCACGAUGAUGUGGUAUUUAGCAACUGAAAGU
Molecule: long non-coding RNA, 203 nt
Filed under: Setaria viridis
Lineage: Eukaryota; Viridiplantae; Streptophyta; Magnoliopsida; Poales; Poaceae
Description: long non-coding RNA (SVIR_LNC004998)
Source: RNAcentral